GCUGGGCAUGAUGGUGCACGCCUGUAAUCCCAGCGUCUCGGGAGGCCGAGGCAGGAGGAUCUCAAGUUCAAAGCCAGCCUCAGCAGUUUAGCAAGGUGCCAAGCAACUCAGUGAGACCCUGCCUCUA
This 127-nucleotide small RNA is filed under the name Marmota monax (woodchuck). The record is from RNAcentral. Lineage: Eukaryota; Metazoa; Chordata; Mammalia; Rodentia; Sciuridae.